RNAcentral lists this ribosomal RNA (783 nucleotides) under uncultured bacterium. Its description in RNAcentral is "bacterial SSU rRNA". It matches the Rfam family "Bacterial small subunit ribosomal RNA", at positions 56 to 869 of the family's 1533-position model. The record is from RNAcentral.
UGCAGUCGAGCGAUUUACUUCGGUAAAGAGCGGCGGACGGGUGAGUAACGCGUGGGUAACCUGCCCUGUACACACGGAUAACAUACCGAAAGGUAUGCUAAUACGGGAUAAUAUGCUUUAGUCGCAUGGCUGAAGUAUCAAAGCUCCGGCGGUACAGGAUGGACCCGCGUCUGAUUAGCUAGUUGGUAAGGUAAUGGCUUACCAAGGCGACGAUCAGUAGCCGACCUGAGAGGGUGAUCGGCCACAUUGGAACUGAGACACGGUCCAAACUCCUACGGGAGGCAGCAGUGGGGAAUAUUGCACAAUGGGCGAAAGCCUGAUGCAGCAACGCCGCGUGAGCGAUGAAGGCCUUCGGGUCGUAAAGCUCUGUCCUCAAGGAAGAUAAUGACGGUACUUGAGGAGGAAGCCCCGGCUAACUACGUGCCAGCAGCCGCGGUAAUACGUAGGGGGCUAGCGUUAUCCGGAAUUACUGGGCGUAAAGGGUGCGUAGGUGGUUUUUCAAGUCAGGAGUGAAAGGCUACGGCUCAACCGUAGUAAGCUCUUGAAACUGUAAAACUUGAGUGCAGGAGAGGAGAGUGGAAUUCCUAGUGUAGCGGUGAAAUGCGUAGAUAUUAGGAGGAACACCAGUUGCGAAGGCGGCUCUCUGGACUGUAACUGACACUGAGGCACGAAAGCGUGGGGAGCAAACAGGAUUAGAUACCCUGGUAGUCCACGCCGUACACGAUGAGUACUAGCUGUCGGAGGUUACCCCCUUCGGUGGCGCAGCUAACGCAUUAAGUACUC